UCAAAGAAAUUUCAAACAAAUAAUAAGAAUUCUUAAAGAAACAUUAGAAGGAUCACAAAUAUCACUCAAAUACAUCUCAAUUCAAUCUUAAUUUAAUUCUAAUUAAAAUCCUAUUGAACUUCAUUCAAACUUUAGGCCAAAACUAAUUGAAUCUUAAAUCCUGAUAUAAUCCUAAACCCUAAAUCAAACCCUAAACAAACCUUUAACCAAACCUUAACUAAAUCCCAAUCAAAUCCUAACCAAAUCCUAAAUCAAAUCCUUACCAAAUCCUAAUCUAAAUCCUAAAUCCUAAACCAAAUCCUAAUCAAAUCCUAAAUCCUAAACCAAAUCUUAAUCAAAUCCUAAAUCCUAAAUCAAAUCCUAACCAAAUCCUAAACCCUAAACCAAAUCCUAACCAAAUCUUAAAUCAAAUCCUAACCAAAUCCUAAAUCAAACCCUAAUAAUUUCUAUAAUAGAUUUAAACCUCAAUAACUAAUGAAUAAACCAUUGAUCUUAAUUCAAAUUUUGCAUACUUCUAAAAAAAUAAGUUAAAAAUAAGCACAAAAAAAUUGAAAAAGGAUUGGAGUUACCAAAUUGUCGAUAACUUCAAAAAUGUGCUCGGGUAUUGGCCGGCCUCCUUCUCCAAUCUUAAUGCCAAUCUUCCAGAGCCAAUAUCUCUCUUUUGCAUUGUUCAAUUGAUUUCAAAAUUCUCAUACACAUAGAAAAAUAAGUCUAAUAUCCUUUCAUGCAAAUUUCACUCCAAUCCAACUAAUAGAUUGCAAGAAAUCUCAAAAACCCCCACUAGACCUAAAAUUCUUCUUUCUGAGACCUUGACCCACUUAAUCCUCAAUAUUCCUCAAUUCAAUAGUUAGAUUGAGUUCAAAUUCACGAAACAUAUUAAACAAAACUAUAACCAUAAAUCCACAAAAUUUCACUUAUAGAUCUAUUACAAAACUCUUGAAAUCUGUCAAAAUAUAAACCCUAUUUUAUUUCAUAAAAUCCAAGUCAUCCAAAACAAACCUCAACUUUGCAAAACUCUUACAAAGUCAUAUCAACUCCAAAUCACUCAAAAUAAAUGCUCAUAGAAAGCCUAUUUAGUCUGCUAUCAAACCUCAUUCUUUGAUCUCCAAAAGAACCCCCAAAGUCAUCGUCAAGACUCGGUUUUGUGCCUUAGAGUCUGAUUUCGACCAUGGUUCAUAACCACCCCUCUCUGGGUAUCAAUAUCUAGUUUUUCUAAGUAAUUUUUUUCUAGAAUUUACUCUUAACUUCCUUCUAAAGAUGAUUAUAUUAUUUAUUUUUCCAAUCUACUUUGAUUUGCCUUACUUAUGGUACUACAAAGUAAGUAGAAGUCACCUUUCUAAAAGGCAAUAUUGGUACCUUUUAAUUUUUCUACUUCUUUGACUAUUAACUAUAUUUCUAAGAUAAUUUGUUCUAAUACUUUGAACUAAGAUCUCCUAAAUUAUAAUAAUCUCCACACUCUUUCACCUAUUAAUCAUGUUACAUCAUGACACCGUAAACCAAUGACUAGAAUAUGGACAAAAGAAGGCUCCAAAAUUUUUGUUUGCCUCUUUUCUUUCAAUAAUUCCACCAAUUUAGAUAAAUGUGCCCUCGGUACGGAAAUUGGCCUUAAAUUCUAAGGCACAUGAGGUACUAUAAAGAUAACCAUAGGAGCAAUAAUAUUAGGAUUUAUACAUCCUAUUUCACGAGAUCCAAAGAUAAAUGAUUUACCUCGUUUUGCAAGCAUUUUUUUAAAAUAUUCAAUUUCUGUUGGAAAUAAAGAACCAUCACAUCCAAUCUUCAAUUCUUCAAAAGUCUCCUUUGUAAACUGAUGUCCAAUCUUCUUUGGAUCUCUUAAACUCUCUUCUUUGGAUGCUUCUUCCAUUUGUUUCUUAAAAUCUUCUAGUAAAGGUCUGGCAAUAGGUUUUACUUUUUAUCUACUGCUUUAUAUUUUGUCUCUACAAUAACUUCUGGUGCUUGAAAAGAUUUAAGUAUAGUAUAAACCUCCUUCGAAUGAAUUUCCUCAAUCUUAUCAUUAUCUCCUAACGCAAUAGAUGUAAUUAAUUCCAAAGAAUCCUCUAAUCCAUUUUCUUCAUAAAUACCUAAAAUCCUCUCAUCAUCUUCUAAUGUUCCUAACUUGCGUAAUUUCCUUUCAAUACUAUAUAAUCUUUUUUUUCUUUUCUUUUAAAAUCAUCAACUUUCUUAUACAUAAUAUUUCCAUUCUCAAAAAUACCAAUAAAACUUGUAUCAAAGACAUCUACAUCUUGUGAGAGUACAUCCUCUUUUGUACCUCCAUAAUCCCGCUUUAUAGUGGUACUUCUCAAAAAUCCUUAAAUUCUUCAACAAUCCUUAGCAAUAGUUUCUCCCUCAACCUAUCUUGAUUUUGUUCAUGAUUAGGAGGUAUUGUUAGAAAUUAUAUAGUUUUCCUUCCAUCUUUACUAUGUACCUUUGUAUAAGCAAAACCAUUAUCAAGUACUUUUGUUUCCAUCCGUAUUGCCAUAAUAUAAGGUUGUCUUAAAAUCAAUGGAUAAGACGUUGUAUCUUGAACAAAGAAAUGUCGCUCUGUCACAACAUCUCCAAUCCAAAUUUUGACAUCUAGACAAGCUCAAUGUAAUUCGCCUCAUGUAUUAUUAGUUGCUCAUAUUGCUCAUCCAUGUUCCAUAUCAAUUGGCCAUUUUUGCUUUUUAUAAAGAUCCUUAGACAUAAGAUUUAUUUCAGAACCAUGGUCGACUAAAGCAACAAUUUGUUCUUCUAUAUCUCCUACUUUCAUUAAUACUUUAGUAAUUGCCCUUGUCCAAUGCUUUCAAGUAUAAUAGCUUGAAGCUUUCAUUUCCUUAUCACUAUAAUCUUCGAAACAUACUCGUUGAUUAUAUCCAUUUUUUUCAUUUGUUGAUUGCUUGUAACCAUCAUCAACCUCUUCUUCAUCUUUUUAUAAUCUUGUAUCAAUAGCAUGGCUCAUUCCAGCUUCAUCCAUUAAUUACCUCUUUCGCUUAAUGCUGUCAAUUAUAACAUCAUAAAACUCCUUCUUUGUAAUUCUCAAAAUCUCUUUCAAUGUGAAUUCCACCUUAGCAUUUAAUAUACGUUCUUCCAACAUCUCUUUUAAGUUUGUUGCCACUUCAAUAUCAGAAAGUAGCUUAUAAGCAAUUGAUUUAUCCUUAUCUUUUGUCUCCUUUGUUUUUUCUUCCAAUGAUGUUGAAGUAUCUUUUAUAGGCAAUUCUUAUGAAGCCACCUCACGAGCCUUAUUUCCUCGAGUUUGCCUCUUAAAAGAAUUCCCUUCUCUUGUACCAUCAAAAUUUUCUCGUCUCUAUUCUUCAAUCAAGGCUUCAUGUUGGCUCUUAGUAAUAUAUGUAUGAACAGAAAGAGACUCAACAGGAUCUUCUCAACCUAUUGCACCUCGUAUUAUAGCUGUAGUCCUGAAUAACGCUUUUCUAGGCAUUUUUUUCUUUUUGCAUUGUAGAAAUGGUAGAAGUCCAAAAUUCACUAGUUUUUAUACUUCCACUAAAGUCAUCAUCUAUUCUAGUACCAUAACUUGCACUCUCUCGUGUUGCUAUUCCAUGUUCUAUUAAAUAAUCUUGAAUCAAUGCUUUCAUACCUCCUUUACUAAAAUUGGUUUGAAGGAGAUCCUCUGUAUCCUUUAAUGCAAUCUUUCCAUCUUUUCAAUAAAUAACUCCUUGCUGUACCAUAUUAUUAAAUUCAUUGCAAUCCUUCCUAAUAUGUGAAGCAUCAUCACACCAGAUACAUCUUUGUACAUAUCUUUGUUUUGAAAUAUUCUUCAAAUUAUUUGUAGAAGUAUUUUCUUCAAGUCUUGUAAAUUUGAUUUGAAGAUCUCGCAUUCCACGUAUAAUUUCUUCAAUCUCCAUACCUCCUUUCUUUGAUAAAGAUGUUGAAGGUUGAACAAUAGAUAUUAUUGGUCGUGUUGUAUAUACUAGAAUUUUAGGUGUUUGUAUUGCUUUUAGAAUAUUACUCCUAUCCUUCCUCCUUUCUCUUUUUGCAAGCAAACACACUGCAUUUUCAAUAUUUUUUCACUUUGUUGUCAAUCCUUCAUCUUUUUCUUUGUCUUCAAGAAGAAACUCCAAUUUUUCUUCUAAUUCUCCAUCAGUAGCUUGAAGAAAUAAUUCAACCUUGUUCGGCUCUAAUGUCAAUUUUUCUACCUUCGAUAAUUGAGAAUACUACCUCUCAAAUUCUCUUAGUCGCUCUGUUACUUGUAAAUUCUUUUCAGACCGCUCAAUCCAUCUUAGAAAUAGUUUCUUAGUAAUACAAUCAGUGUUCUCCAAGAAAUAUUCGUCUUUUAAUGCAUGUGAAAAAAUCUCCCAUGAAUUUCCAUAAUGCUCCAUAAUUGAUGUAAUAUGCUCUCUUAUUUCCGGUAUCAUGGCAAGUCCAAAUAAUUCAACCAUCUUCUUCUUAGAAAUCCGAUUUAAUUCUAUUUUCCAAAAAUAAUAUCUUAAAUACUUUGAAAUAUCCCUUCUAUCAAAUUCAUCAAUUUUAUUGACCACUGCUUGCAAUGCUUUGGUUGCUAAAGCUUCUUUGCGAUCAUUGCUUUCCUGUUGCUGCAUAGAUAAUGAUAAGGCUUGAAAUAUACUAGCAACACAAGGAUCCAUGUAUAUACCUUGUUCUUUAGAAGAAAUUCCACCAGAAGCUCUAAUUGAAGCUCCUCCCAAAGCUCCUUCAAAAUUUUUAUUCUCAUUCUUCAUAAAACAAAAAUAAAAAUAAACGAAUUCCAAUACCUCCCACCUCAAGCAUUUCACGUCAGAUUCACCACUUAUGUCGUAUUAUAUGCUAUCUUGCUUGAGAAUGCAUCGGGUGUCUAGCUGUAGAAGAUAAAAUAAUGUUUUACAAAUACCCAAGUAGAUUAGUGGGUUUCAACCAUCUAAAUACAAACUAUUUCGGAUUUCAAUGUAAAAGCUUAAUCCCAAUACAAAGUACUUAGAAAUACUAUUUUUAAUAACUUUAAGAUAAUAUAAGCACAAAUUCUUUUGUUAUUUGUUAGUUUUAUUUUAUUUUAUUUUAUUUUAUUUUAUUUGUUAAUUUAUUUUUUAUUUUAUUUGUUAAUCUAUUUUUUAUUUUUUUAAUUUUAAUUUUUUUAAUUUUUAAAUCUUAAUUUUAGACAGUGAGCUUCAACAAGAUGUAAUUCUCAAUCUGAUCAUUCGAUUGUUUUAAAACUUCUACGACUAGUGUCUUUGCAAGUCUUCUAAAUCCUCAAGAAGUUUUAAACCAAUCCAACUUACAGAUUGCAAAAAACAUUGUAAAUCCAUACUAAUGUCCCUUGACUACAGCUUAGAAAGUUGAUGACGAACUUUGAAUUAUAAUUUCUCCUUUUGCAACCAUUAAUUCUCAUUUAACUUUGUGUACAACUCCGUUUUUAAGUCUUGGACUUAUCAUGUCAAAAUUCACUUUAUUCCAGCUGAUAGAUCUCCAGAUAUUACAAAAAUCCUAAACAACCCCAAUAUGUCAACUUCUGAUACCUCUUUAUACUAAUGACCAAAUAUCCUCUAUUUGUACCGUUAAAUUAACACAAAUUUUUGUAUAUACUUGGCAUACUCAACCAUCUAGAUAUCUCUAAAAUUUCAACUGCAAAUGUUUUUCCAAUUUUACAAAAUAGUCAAGAGUACUAGCCUUAAUUUUAUUACAAAAAAAUCCAAAUCACCAAUACAAACACUGACUUUGAACAACAAUUGCAAAGUCUUGCCAAAUCCUAUGAAAAUCAAGUCUUACACCUUUUGAAGGAGCUUGAAGCUAGUUCUUCGACCCUAAAAAUUCCGAUCUCCGAAUGCCCUCUUUCUUUUCCUCCUUUUUCCUUUUACUUAGUGAAGUUCCCUAUUCUUUCACCUUCGACUCAGAAUUGGAAUAGCUGACCAUGCUUCUAUGGAAUUCUCGCCUCUAAGAGGAUAUUCUUAUAGAAAGAAUAUUUCUCUAAAAUGGCAUAGAGAACGAAAUAGCUUGAAAUAGAACCUAAGCUUCCAUAAUUGGAACCUCAUUCGAUUGCCCAACCGAGUCAGGUCUCAUACUAGAUAAGAGGCCUAUAACAGGUCCUGGAUUGGAUGUCCCCGUAAUUGGAUCAAAUUGGUCCUUCGCAUUAGAUUCAUCCAAAUAUUAAAUUUGUCCUUUCUCCUUUUGUCGACUACUGGUAAGAACGGCUUGGAUACAUUCCACCCGAUUUAUCAGAGUAUCUUGAGGACCUCGAUUUAUCUCCUCAAUUUUUUCUUCGCUUUGUAUUUGCUGAUCUCGAUUAUUGAAAUUGAACGGAGUAUUAUAUUACUGAUAAGUAUGCCUUGAUUGUUUACAAUUUCCAUACACUUGCAUAUAAUCAUCACUGGCUUUGGAAUUGGGACAUUCACUAGCAUAAUGACUAAUCUGUCUGUAAUGGAAACAACGAAGUAGUCUUCUUGCACCUCCCCCCCCCUCCUGUCAGGUAUAUUGGGUAUCUCCACCAGUAUAUACCUACUAGGUUUGUUCUAUAUAGGAUUAGAAAAUGAUAAUGGUUGCCCUGUUGGUACGAAGGGUACUUGAUUUGAUGACGCCAGUGGAGCAUUUUGCUGAUGUCACAUACGGUGGUAUAUCUUGCAAUGGAGAGACAUUAAUUGGCCCUUGAAUAUUGACAUUGGAAUUGGCCACUGUUUCUAACAUCCAAGAUAACUAAAUAUUAAUAAAAUCUUUUUUAUUUAUAUUUUCAUCAUAUAGUCGUGUUACAACACGACAACGUGUUGACAUAAAAUAUUGAAGGUUCUUGUAAUCUGUAUACAUAGUGACUAGGAUAAAAGCACCUUCUAGAUAAUGGCAAUAUUUUUGAAACAAAUCCAUGAUUGCAAGAAGUUCUUUGUUGUCGAUCUCGUAGUUGAUCUCGAAUGCUAAAAAUUUUCUGGAUUGAAAAGCUAUUUGAUGAAGUUUAUCAUCUGUUCUUAUCUGUGAUAAUACGGCACCUAAAGCAAAGUUUGAUGCAUCUAUUUCUAUAAAAAAAAUGGCUUAGAAAAAUCAACGCGAUACAAGAUUGGUACAGAAACAAAGGCUGUCUUCAAAGCUUCAAAUACUACUUCCGCUUUUUAAUUCCAUUGAAGUUUGACUUUACAAGUCAAACAUGUUAGUGGAGCUGCAACUUGAGAGAAGUCUUUGAUGAAGAUUUGAUAGUAGUUGGCAAAUCCCAAAAAAUAUUAGACAUCUUUUACUGUUUUUAGAAUCUUUCAAUUCAUAAUAGUUUAAACUUUCUUAGGAUCUAUCAUAAGUCCAUCAUUUGAAAUGAUGUAUUUUAAAAAGUCGAUUUAAUUAGUAUGAAAUAUACACUUUUCUAUCUUAGCAAAGAAUCCCCCAUUUCUUAGCUUUUAUAAUACAUGAUGAAUAUGAAAUUCAUAUUCUUCUAUAUUCUUAGAAUAGAUAAAGUUUUCAUCUAGAUAACAGACAAUAAAAUCAUCUAAAAACUCCCAAAAAACAUCAUUUAUUAGAUGUUGAAAUACUUUUGAUAUAUUUGUAAGUCCAAAAGGCAUGACGUUGUAUUCAAAAUGUCCAUACCUUGUUCAAAAUAUCCAUACCUUGUUCUGAAAGAAUAUCUGGAUUCUUCUUCUCAAAUAUAUCUUGAAAAUCUUGAUAUUGGCUUGAAAUGCCACUUGAAGUCUUUCCACUAAUAGAAACAAGUGUGCCAUAAAUGACACAAGGUGAUCCUUCUUUUAUAGCAUACAAGAAAGCUCUUGCACCUACAAAUACAAAUUUAAUUGUACUAGACUUAUGAUUUUUUACUUGAUUAACUAUGCUCUUAGUCAUACUUUCAAAAAAGUCAAGACUACGAGAAGUUCAAUCUAUUUUAGGAUUAUAUUUUUUAGCCAUCAUAAAUCUAAAAUAUCUAGAUUAAAGAGAGGUUUAAUGAUAUUAAAUAUUACAAAGCUACUAUGACCAUUAAUUGCUACUUUUAUAGGAAGGAUUUUAUGAGUAACAACUCCUAAAGACAAUGCAUGACCAUCUAUGACUUCUACAUCAACAGGUUUAGUUUUCUUCACUAAAAGUAUGCUAUGUCUUUUAGCAAAUUCUUCAUCUAAGAAACAUGCUGAAACUCCUAAAUCUAAUUAGAUAGAAGCUUUGUGAUAUUUAGGUUCUAAAGUAACAUUUAUCGUAAAACAAGAAGAGGGUUCAAAGGAGAAAAUAGGAACUUCACUAGGUGUUGUACAACAUUUCAGUUGCACAGUCCUUAUUAUAGCUCGACAAAUUUAUUUUCCAACAUACUAUCUUCUUUGAUAGCCGUUGUCAUAAUACGUGAAGUCUUGCUUGAGAAUGCUUCAGGCACCUAGUUAUAGAAGGUAGAAUAGAAAUUGCAACAAUAAAAUCUUAACUCUAAUAAAAUACUAACUAAACUAUAAUUAAACCAUAACAAUGCUAAGUAAGCUUUAAUCAAAUUCAAAGAAACUUCAAAGGAAUUAUAAAGAAAUAAUAAGAAAUCUUAAAGAAAUAUUAGAAUGAUCACAAAUAUAUCUCAAAUACAUUUCAAUUCAAUCUUAAUUUAAUCCUAGUUAAAAUCCUAUUGAACUUCAUUCAAACUCUAUGUUAAAAACUAUCUAAAUCUAUAAUCCUAAACAAACCCUUAUAAAAUCUGAAAUCCUAAACUAAACCCUAAUCAAACUUGUGAAUGUUUAAUUCCACCCAUCAAUCCAAAUUACAAAAUGGCCUCAAUUAAGAGUUUCUUGUAAUGGGUGGUAUGAAGUGGAAGUAACAAACAACAAGAACUAAAGAAGAAUAACACAAAACAAGUGAAACAAGUGCAAUCAAGCAAUUGUACACUACAAAACGAGUCACAGUCUGUUCACUAGAUUUUUACCAAGUAAAAAGUAAAAAAUAAAAGUAAAAAAUAUAUUUUUAGAAAGAUAAUUUUUUUAAUCUUUUCAAUGAUGUAAAAAAUAUGUAAAUCCGACUUAUUAUGAGUAAGUUAUGAAGGAUUAAAAAUAACAAGUAACAAAUAGAAAAUUAAGUAAAAAAUAUUUUACAUCAAGGGUAACUUGUUAAUAGAUCAAGGGUUCGAACCUCACCAAGGCUCACAUGUAGUAUUUAUGGGUUGUCUAAAGAGGCCUUUAGGCCUUAGUCUUAUCUUCCUACCUACAUCCAAGGUGCUACAAUCCAUAUAGGACUUGUGCACCUCCCUGCUUACAAGGACUAUACUUGCUGCUGGUCCUCCUAUUUUCUAAUAGUAGAAUUAAUAUUUUUGAAUUUUUGACUUCACCAUGGUGUUCAAAAACACCCAAUUAUCCUAGAAACAUUGCACGGCCUUCAAACCUUGCUCUAUUUCUUCAUAAUGGCUCCCCAAGUGGUAAAACUCAAUUUUACCAAGGUCUUGAAAAUUAUCCUAAAAAUUCAUAGAAAAUUCUAAAUAAAUUCUAAAUAAAUUCUAAAAAUUACUAUAAUAUUUCUAUAAUUCUAAUAUUGAUUUAAAGAUAUAAUUUCCUAUAUUUAUGAUUUUUUAUAGUGAUAAAAAUCAAUUUGCAUCUACUAAAAAUUCUAAAUAAUUUCUAAAUAAAUUCUAAAAAUUUCUAUAAUGUUUCUAUAAUGCUAAUAGCAAUUUAAAGAUAUAAUUUCCUAUAUUAUAAAUUUUUAAUAGUAAUGGAAUUAAUUUAAAUCUACUAUAAAUUCUACUUUCUAUAUAAAUAACUAAAAAGACAUGAGGUCCUUUCUCAUGCUUCUUUUAACUACUAACUAACAUUUAUAGUUUUUUUAUAAGUAAUACAUAUAGAUAUUAGAUCAAUAUAAAUAUUUAUUUUAGUAACUAAUCGUUACUUCUCAAUAAUAAGUAAAAAUACUAAACCAACUAAAAUAAUUACCUCCAAGACUUACCAAGACUCCAUUUCUUCUCCACUAAUACUUUUUUUCUUUCUUUAACAUCUUUCAAGCACAGCUUUACCUAAUAAUUAUAAUUUUGAUACUCUACAUGCAUUCUUUUGUCCUAAAAUAAGUAAUGAGUCAAUCUGAUGACUCACAAAAUCCUAAAACAAAUCCUAAUCAAAUCCUAAAUCCUAUAUCAAAUCCUAACCAAAUUCUAAACCCUAAAUCAAAGCUUAAUCAAAUCCUAAACCAAAUCCUAAAUCCUAAAUCAAAUCCUAGUAAUUCCAAUAAUAGGUUUAAACCUCAAUUAUUAAUGAAUGAAUCAUUGAUCUUAACUCAAAAAUUACAUUUUUUUUAAAAAUUAAGUUGACAACAAGCAAAAUAAAAAUUUGAAAGGAUUGAAAUUACCAAAUAGAUGAUAGCUUCAAAAACGUGUCUGGAUAUUUGUCGGCCUCCUUCUCUGAUCUUGAUGUCAAUCUUCAAAAGCCAAUAUAUCUUCUUUUCAAUAUUUGAUUGAUCUCAAAAUUUUUAUAUACAUAGAAAAAUAAGUCUUAUAUCCUCACACACAAAUUUCACUCUAAUCUAAUAAGUAGAUUGCAAGAAAUCUUAAAAAUCCUCAUUGGACCAAAAAAUUUAUUCUGUGAGACCUUGACCCACUUAAACCUCAAUAACCCUCAAUUCAACUAUUAGACUGAGCUAAGAUUCACAAUACAUAUUAAAUACAAUUAUAACCAUUAAUCCACAAAAUUUCACUUGUAGAUCUAUUACAAAACUCUUGAAAUGACUAGAAAUGUUAGUCCUAUUUUAUUUCACAAAACCUAAGUCAUCUAAAAACAAACUUGACUUUGUAAAACACUUACAAAGUUAUUACAAAUCCAAAUUUCCCAAAACUAAUGCUUAUAAAAAUCCUAUCUAGUUUGCUAUCAAAUGCCACUCUGCAAUCUGUCAAAGAACUCCUGAGUUAUCAUAAGUGCUCAAUUUUGUGCCUCAAGGUCUGAUUUUGACCUAGGGUGCUAACCAGCCCUCCUUAGGUAUCAGUAUCUAGUUUUUCUAGGUAAUUUUUAUUAGAAUUUACUUUUAACUUCUUCUUAAAGAUGCUUAUGUCAUUUAAUUUUCUAAUCUAUCUUAUUUUGCCUUAUUUAUGGCCCUAUAAAGUAAAUAGAAGUUACUUUUGUAAAAAUAUAAUACUACUACUAAAAGUUUUACUACCUUCCUAUCUUUUAUCUAUGUUUUUCUAUUUUAUCUUUUAACUUGGUUCUUCUAUAAUAAGAUCCAUAUUAUCAUCUUUCACCACAUAGUUGUGUUACAACACAACACCGUACUCCUCAUUUUAUAGUUGCAUCGCUUCUUUGGGUAAUGUUAAGCAAUGUGCUUAGGUUCUCUACAAUAUAAGCACAAUCCUUCCUGACGACGACGAGUCUUUUCUUGCUCAAUAAGAAAUUUGAAAUGUACCACAUCAAUGUACAUAUCUUCUAUUUCUAAAUGUAUAUAUUGAAGAGGUGUUGAUAUUGCCAUUCAAUUAUAGUAACGUUGAGAUUUAAUUGUAUGGUUCUCCAAUCGAAAUUCAAAAAGAUGAUUGUUGCACUUCCUAACAAAGUCAAUUACUUGACUCAAUGUUUGAGGAUCAGGUAAGUUGAGCAUGUAUUUUCUUACCUCAUAUUAUAAUCUAUAGAAAAAUUGGCUAAGAAAUGCAGCAUCAUUCCACAUGAUAUCAAUUGCAAGUUGUUGAAACUUUGAAGCAUACAAUGUUACUGAUCGAUUGCCUUGUCGCAAAAUACGGACCUUAUUAGUUGAAACACAAAUUGCAUCAUUUUUUCUAUACAUGAAUUAAAAUUCUACCAAAAAAGCCUCUAGAUUAUCUAAUAUUGGAUCUUGUCGUUCAAGAAAAGAUAAAAACCAUGAUAAUGUUGAACCUGAAAGAAGUGUACCAAUGAAUCUAACUUGCAAUCCUGAAAUUGGAUAGCUUUGGAAUUGAAGUUCAAUCACAAGUUAUACUUGAUUGAUAAAUCUUUUAAACUUUGAUCUGGUGCCAUCAAACUUCUCGGGUAGGAAAAUUCUUGGUUCUCUAACUUUGGAAGGAUGUUCCACCAUAAGAGAAGGAACAUGAUUUGAUGCACAUGUUAAAGCAGAUCCAAUUAUUUCUAUAUCUUCACUUCUUGCCAAUCUUGUUGCUCCUUUUAGUGGCAAAUUAAGUUGAUGCAUCGUAAACAUUAACUCCAUCAAUUGUUCUUGCAUUUGUACCAUUGCACUCUUUAUUUGAGUAAGUUCUGCCAUAAUAACACUUAGGAAAGAAAAGAUGUUUAAUAUUGCUCAAGACAAAUAGAAGAGAGGACUUGAGAAUAAAAAAAAUAUUAAAAAUAAUAUCAGUUUAGAAGAGGGUAAUCUACAACUUCUAAUACGCUUAUGUCUUAUCAAGAGAAAGGAGUAAUCUACUCUUAAUCAAGAUUAAACAAAGCUCUGAUAUUGUAAGUACACUCUUAUCAAUUUGUCAAGGACAAGAACUUGAUAAAAAAAUUAAACAAGUGAGACUUUUCUUAAAGAAAGAUUAUAACAUAGAAAUAACUAAAUAUGAAUAUUAAGAAAGAAACUGGAAUGACUAUUGUCAAAAGACAAGAAAACUAGAGAUCCUUGAAACUAGACUAGAAGCAAAAAAGGAAUUGACAAGAGUGAAGAAGGCUUUACUCUUGCCUCUAUAUAUAUUAUCUACCUAAGAGCUACGUGGCAAUAUUCAUAUUUAUUCUAAUAUUUAUCUAUAUAAUUAAAUAGAAAUAAGUAAAAAUAAAUUUAUUAUAUAAUUUUUUUUUAAAAAGCUUCUUAAAAGCUUUAUAGACGUUGCUUUGAUUUUACAUGUAUUUUUAAUUGUUUGAUAGGUUAAAUACUUUGUCAAUAAGCUAAUCACAUGUUGAUAUCUUACAAAAGUAGCUAAUCAUGUGGCAUACAUAUAAAAAACUUGUUUUGCAAGUUAAAAUAGUUGUCUUAUAAAGUCAACAUGUAUUGAAGGUCUUAUAGGAUAUUGUAGCAUAGCUCUUAGUUAAAAGUAUAUAUAGAUAUAAUAGUGAAGCCUUCUUCACUCUUAUCAUUACCUUUCUAGUCCUUAGUCUUAUUUCAAGACUUUUUAGUCUUUUUGUGUUUGACAAUAGCCAUUUUAAUUUAAUACUAUAUCAUCUUUGAGUGAUUUGUUAGUCUUUUUAAGUGAUAUAAGAAUUUAUUGAUAUUUUAAUUCUUUGAAAUUCAUGUCUUUAACAAAAAGUAGUUGAUAGAUCUUUUUAAUCAUCAAUAGCAUCUCAUACCUCUGAAAGAAGACCACUUUGUUAUUUGAUUAUUAUUAAAGCCUUUAUAAUUCUUUUCAAAUAAAAUAUUUGGAACACCAUGAAGAAUCAUUCUUACCUUGAAUGAAAUCACCAAACAUGGAAAACUUCUUCUAAAGUCAUAAUACCAAAUAUAUUAUAUCUUGACAUCUAUUCAAAAAUAUACAUGUUAUUUUUAAGAAUCAACAUCUCUAUUACAUCAUCUUAAAGAUUGUGGCUAUUAAAAUGUCUUGUUUAAUAAGUCAACAAAUGAUAGCUUUUGAGUUGAAUUUGUUAGUUUUUAGUUCUUUAUUUCCUUGAUGCUAAAAAUAUAUACAAACUACAAAGAAUGAUAGAAGAUAAAAAUGUUAUUUUUUAAUCUUAAUUCUUUUAUAACUAAGAUUUUUUAUUCUUCAAUUUAAUUUUGAAGGAUGUCAUUGAUCAAAAACAUCAAUCUUUUUUGCUACUUUUAUAAGAUUCUUAGCCAACUCUCAUGUUUAUUUACUAAUAUCAUAUUUGUAUCAAUGAACAAGAUAUUUCAAUCUAUUUUGGCAUCGCCUUUAGUCUAAGUCGUCUUCUAUCUUAAAUUCUUUAUUAUUAUCUACUUCUAAAUGAAAAUGUGAUAUUUGUUUUCUUUUUGAGAUGCUUAUUGUCUUGUAUGGCUCAAAAAAAGUCAUGUAGAAUAUGGCAUAGAUCUUCAUAUACUUUAAUAAAUAUAAUUGAUAAAAAAUUGGAUUGAUUUGUUUACAAGUAAAAAAUAAUUUAAACCCAUGGUAAUCUAAUUUAUCAAAAAAAUAAUUUAUCUUGAUAUUACAAAAAAAUAACUAUACCUUGUUGUAAAUGUUGUUGUAUUGUGUUUUGGCAACCACGUAAAAAUAAUAUAUUUAUAUAUUUAAUACACAAUGUACUAGACAACAUGGUGAAAGCCAUAUUAGUGGAUUUUUUUUCGGUUAUAGAAUGUGAAUAGAUUACUACCUCAAAAAGAGAUAGUUUAAAAGAACUUUUAUUAGAAUUUAUAUAAUAUUAUUUUCUUUUGAUAGUGACUUUGAAGUUGAUCUUAUAAGUAGUAAUUUUUAAAUAAUUAGAGUCACCUUUGUUAGAUAUUGGUAACCCUUAAAGUCUUAUUUUGUUUCUUUUAGAUUAUGUUUAGGACAUAUUGUAGAAUAAGUAGUUAUUUUCAGAAUGUAGAUACCUAGUGUAUAGUGUAAACAGAGAUAGAUAAUUGCUGAAAAAGUGGUUCAACACGUAGAAUGGAUGAAUAGUCAAGAAAAGUAGUUAUCAACUGUAGUAUAGGAGUUGGUAUCUCGGGAUAGUAUAAGGAGGAUGGAAGAGGGGAAGAAAAUGCCAAACUGUGAGAGUUGUAAGCCAAGGGCCAAACUGUGAGAAUCGUAAGCCGAGAGCCAUUGCUGUGAUAGUGUGAGCCGGGGUAAGCUUGGUGCUACCUCUUUUCUUUUGUUUGUUAUUUUCUUUGAAUAAGAGGAUUGAGAGUUUUUGAAUAUUGUGAAGUGAAUUAUGGAAUGGAAAUGUGAUUGAUAUUAUUUGAGAAGAAGAAAGAUUGAAUGUUGAAAUCUGAUUGUAGUUCAACAGAGAGAAUGAGUCUGUAUUUGUGUGAAACACUAUAAUGUGAAUGGCAGUUCUGUGUGAAGAAUUCCACUGAUUGGAACGAGGAUAAUUGUGUGCUGAAAGUUGUGAGGGCAUAGUAUUACAGUUGGAGAUUAUGAGGGUGAAUAUAUUGGUAGAAAUAGCAGUUAUUGGUAUAACUGAAUUGCUAUAAGGAAGAAACCGAUAAGGUGAAGGAAGAGAUUAUAGUUUUCUUGUGUGUUCAGAUAUUAGAAAUAGAGACGAUACAUUCAAGAAGUAAUUGAUUGUGUGAUCCUAAUGUGAACGCUUAAGUAACUAGUCAUAUUCCAUGUUUGAAUCCCCCUAUAUGGAUUUAUUCUGGGAGGUUUCUUUCGGAAUAAGUAAAACGAGCAAUCACAUUUUGGUGCCGCUGCCGGGGAGUGAUAAUAGCUUUGAGUGUUAGGAAUUAAUUAUCAAACGUGUGAGAAAAUUGGCAAUGGAAGACGAUUUCAGUAGUAUUUGAAGCAAGAUUAUGGUUAAUAAGAACAAGAGUAUUGCAUCGAGGAAAAUAAAUCAGUUGAGAAAAAGACAAGGAAGAGCGCAAGGAAGGAACUUGCUUAGAGAGGAGCAAGAACGUAAUCUUAAAAGGAAGCAUCGACAGAAUUGGAUUAAACCAUGGUUGCAAGCUUGUCGGUGCAUCCAAACAUAUCAAGAACCGGACAGACUUUUAAUUCUGCAAUCGUAUGUACCGUUAGAAAAACUGCCAAGAACACUUGCAAAAAUUUUUUUUAACAUUCCAGUGGAAAUCUUGAGGCCAUUAACUGAAAGAGAAGGAGGCGUAGAAGAAUUUGGUACUCCAUUGGAUAUUUUUUCAGUAAGGGGUACCGCUGAAACAAGCAAUAGUGGCUCUUCAGAUUGGAACAAAUUGGUCGCCAAUAAAGAUAAUUAUAUUGUAUUUCAAAAUCCAACGUUUUCACCUGCAAUUCAACCAAUAAAACUAUUUGCAAAAAAUAAUAGUAAAUUGAGGAGUACUGAGAGCUUGGAAAUUAGAUAAGGAAAAGCACAGAUUAUUUUAAAAUGGAGUUUAGCAAAAUAAGAAAUUCAAUGGCGUCAAGAGGACCAGCCAUUCUAACUACAGUACAAAUGGGUGUAGUAGGCGAUUGUACGACUAUUGUCACAUCAUUACUUACUUUUUGGGAUUUGCCAAUUGCGGAUCCAAAUCAAUAUUUGUCUCAAUUCUUGACGAUGUGUAUAGCCAAUAAUGGAAGAAUAGAAGAUAUUUGGUUAAGAUGGUUGCUAGCGACAUUGAAAGACAUAGCAUUUGAUUGGUACAACCGCCAACCUGUGGGACAAUUUAUCAAUUGGGAGGCAUUGAAAAAUAUAUUUUUAGCCCAUUUUCGACCAAUUGGUUUUGAAGAACGUCUUAGAGAAAAAUUAAUGACCAGCAAAAUGGUAUCAAGGGAAGCGGUACAGUCAUAUUAUGGUCGUAUAGCAGAUAUACUUCGAAAAUGGCCAAAUAACCAAAUGUCGGAAUCGUUUGUGUUGUCCAUAUUGGUUAAUGGACUACACCCACCAAAAUUAAAGAUGUUUGUAAAGGAGGCCCAAUCAACCACGAUUGCAUCAUCUCUUGAGUGAGCGAAAGUAUGGGAGGAAUGUCACUAUGACUUGAACUUAACAGUUGGAGCCACAAUGAUUCCAUCUCAAGGAGGUUAUCAAAUGACAAAUUAGAAUGACGCAUCGAAAAGUUAUCUGGGAAGGAAUGAUUAUGGUACAAUUCCACAGGGAAUAGUGGAUGCCAUUCCAUUAUAAGUUGUACCACCAUCAUCAUCACACCCGUAUGCACCUUAUUCCAUGUAUCAAAAACCAAUACCUACAAAGGAAUUGUCAAAUGCAUUGAUAUCAAGAGAUCCCAAUGAGUCAUUGUUGUUAACAUUGACGAAAAAAAUGGAUGAAUUGGCUGUAAAUCUGGCCAAGGAUAAAGAAAAAAGGCCUAAACCAACCAAUAUGCAUCCCAAUGUUUGGUACAGCAAUUAUAAGGGGCAAGGUCAUUUGGUAACAGAAUGUCCUUCACCUCCCCAAAUGACUGUACAAUGUACUUUUUAUGGGGGCAAGCAUAUAACCACCAACUGUUGGAAUUUAUAGAAGGAAUAACAACUCAGUAAUCAGAUAAUGACUCAACCAACUUUGUGGGAUGUCAAUCAAGUACAAACGAAUAAUAGGUUGUGCUGGAAUAAAAAUCGAGCAAAUUAACAAAACAGGAAUUAUUCCAAUUUUUUAAACUCUGAAUUUCACCAAAAAGGUGUAUCCAAUACUCACGGAUUGGUGAUGAACCAAUCAAAAUACCAUCAAUAUCCACCCAUGACGAAUCCAAUGCCAGACUCUACAGUAACAAUGGGUCAACCAAGAUCCUUUACUCAUCCGACAUGGGACAGAUUUAGCCGUUAUAUACCAGUAGAGACACCCAAUAUCCCUGAAGGAGUUGGUAGGAGACCACUUCGUUGCUAUCAUUGCAAACAAAUCGGACAUUAUGCAAAUGAAUGUCCUAAUCCAAGGGCUAGUGAUGACUAUGCUCCAAUAUGUGGAAAUUGUAAGCAAUCUGGUCACACUUAUCAGCAGUGCAAUGCGCCCUUUAAUUAUAAUGACCGAGACCAGUAAAUACAAAUAAGCCAACCGGCAGAGGACGAAAGCCCUGUUCAACGAGACUCACCACUAUAUCAUGUGGAGGUGGUGAACGCAGUGCUUACCAAAGGCCAACGAAAAGACAAGAAUCUAAUUCAAGACCUGGAUGAACCAAUCGCACGAGAGCAAGUAGCGCCAUCCACGGGGCUAAACGAACCAAUAUCAGUAUUGGAACGUAUCCCAAUAUUGAGACCUCAACAGACUGAGGAACCCAAUUCGGUUCCACAUGCUAAUUUAUCGGAACCAUCCCAUCUAGGUCCUGUUACGGGCUUCGUACCUAGUAUGAGACCUGAAUUAGUAGUAGAAUCCAAUGAGGUCUCAAUUACGAAAGCUUUGGUCCCGUUCUAAGCAGUUUUGAUCCCUAUGCAAUUUCGAGAAAUGUCCUAUCCAUUGAAAGAUCUUCUCAGGGGCAGAAAUUCUAAGGAAGCCCCAGCUACUGUUCCAAUUCCGAGUUUAGGGCGUAAGAAUAUCUUACCUCAUGGAGUAAAAUCAAAACCAAUGAAACAAAAAAGAACAUUGGGAAUUACUCUCAAUAUGGAACCCUAUGACAUUCUAAAGAAUUUGGAUGUUAUUCAGCCUUCAAUUACAAUGAAGCAACUUUUGGCUGUAGCACCGAAAUGUCGAUCUACAUUGAAUUCAGCGCUAAUACGACAAAGAUCCUGCACUAAAGAAAUUCAUGAAGUUAGCUUAAACCCAGAUCCGGGAGCACCAAAAAUCGAUGUAUCAAUCGAUGGCAUUUUAAUUCUAGGGGUACAAGUCGAUAGUGGCUCCAGUGUGAAUUUAAUGAAUACAAAUAUAAUGGAGGACUUAGAUCUAAAGCAAUUGCUACCUAUGACAUUGGUCAUGCGAAUGGCAGAUCAUAGUCGGAUAAAGUCAAUGGGAAUCUUAUGCAAUAUUGCUACUGUAAUCGUAGGAUUGACAUACAAAAUCAAUUAUAUUGUAUUUUGAUUACAGAGUUCUACGUUAUUGUAUCCUAUUUUAUUGGGCAGACCUUGGCUUUAUCAAGCCAAAGCUAAGAACGAUUGAGGUCAAGGCACAUUGACAAUUUUAAAAAGCCAGGAUUAGAUUGUUCUACACAUGUACCCGGUACAAUAUCAUGGAGAAUCUCAAUUGCCAAAAUCAAAAUUUACAUUGGACAACGAGAGUCAAUUGAUUGAGGGAGAUGAUGAUGCUAUAGAUUCACCGCAAUUUAGGGUAGGACAAAACACUUCAACACCAAAGGCAGGAGUCUACCAAUGUGAAAGGCUCGGUGAAUAUUUACUGCAUCAGGAAGAUGCAACUAACUCGGAUCAUGCUAUUGUCGAAUGCAUGAAAAAUCUCGCAGUCAAUAGAGUCAGCACAUUGGAACCAAAUUUGGGUGGUUCCCAUAUGUCGGAUAAUACAAGAUAUUCAGAUCAGAAGAAGAUAAUUAAAUCAGAGGUUGUUGAAGACCCUGUGUGUUAAUCUAUUAACCUGAGUACUAACGAAAUGCCACAGCUAAUUAAAAUAUAUGUUGGUAUUAGCGGUACAGAAUUGGAUGCUUAAAAAUAAUUUUUUGUUUGUCACAAAUUUGCCUUUGCAUGGUCGUAUGAGGAUUUGAAAAGAAUUCUUAUCGACGUGUGUGAGCACCAGAUUAUUCUGGAGGAGGGUGUUACGCCAGUUUGUCAAAGACAACACCGGCUUAACCCAAAAUAUUUCCUUUUAGUGAAAGAGGAAUUGGAUAAACUUCUCGACAAGGAUUUUAUUUAUCUUCUUCUACAUAGUGCAUGGGUGUCGCCAAUUGUGAUGGUACCGAAGAAGAAUGGAAAAAUCAGGAUAUGUCAAGAUUUUUGAAAGUUAAAUGCAGCCACCAAGAAAGAUUACUUUCCAUUACCUUUAACAGACAAUAUGGGUAACAUGUUGUCAUUAUCACCACUAAGUAAAAGAAUAGGAGUGGGGCACCAGUUAAAGUCAUUCUGUGGUGUUGUUUUGGGUUGGCUAGAGUGCCAUUUUCUUAUAUUUCUUGUAUUUUUGAGAGUAGUAGUUCCAAAUAAAAGUUAACAGUGAAGAAUUGGUGUCGUGUUGUAACACGAGUAUACGGUGAAAAUAUAAAGAAAGGAGACUUUUAUUAAUAUUUAGUUAUCUCAAAUAUUGGGAGCAACACCCGAUUCCACUGCCAAUAUUCAGGGGCCAGUUCAAACACCCCAUCACAGUCGGUGACGGCAUACUUACCAGUAAGAAAAUGCUCUGUUCGAGUCCAAUAGUGGUAGUCAACAGAAAUGAAAGGACUAAAUCGAUGACAGAGCGAGCCUGAUGCGAACGACCAAUUUGACCCAAUUACGGCAACAUCUAGGUCUUACUACGGGCCUCUUAGCCAAUAUGAGACCUGAAUUGGUUGGGCGACUCAAUGUGGUCCCGAUUACGGGGAUUUCGAUUCCAUUUCAGGCUGUCAUGUUCUCUGUGCCGUUUCAAAGAACGUUGUUUCUGAAAAAAAAAUCUUUUAAAAGGCAAAAAAUGAAGGAGAAAGCUCUGACAUUGGAGCCAAUUUCGGAUCCAACACGAAAGAUUGAAAAAAUUCAGAGGCUAGGAUUUGAAAGAGGGGAGAAUAAGGGUUAAAGGAGAAGAUAGGUUAAGGAAUGAGAGGAGGAGAAUCAGGAUUUUAAGGGUAGGAAAGCUAGCUUCAUGCUUCGGGGGAGAAAAAAGACAGAGAAUUGGGAUUUUUUUUCAUAGGGUUUUGAGAAGACUGAAGCAAUCAUUGCUGAAGUCAAUGAUAUACUGGUGAAUUGGGGUUUUAAUGAACUGGGUGUGAUUACUCUUGAUUGUUUUGUAAAAUCAAAGUUACGUCUGUGAUUGAAGAAUUAAAAGGGUGUCUGUAGGAUUGAGUAUGCGGAAUGAAUGAAAAUUUUUGGGUUAAUCUAAAAAGACAGUCAGUGGAUAAAAGGUCGUGAGUAUAAAGGGGUAUCGGAGAUUAGCAGAUUGGGUUGUUCGGGGUUCUUUGUAACGUCUAGAGACCUAUCGAUUGGAGCAAAAAAGGAUUUCGGCGAGCAAUCGAAGGACAUUCGUAUAGAUAUAUGAUAUAUUCUUACAAUUGUUUAUAUUCCAACAGUUAAAAACUGAUAGACUGCUUGAAUAUUAGUGAAUCUCUAUACUACCUUCCACAGCCAGACGCCCGGUGCGUUCUCGAGCAGGAAAGCACGUAAUACGACACAAGUGGUGAACUCGACGUGAAAGCUUGAGGUGGAAGAUAUUGGAUUUCAUUUGAUUUUAUUUUUAUUUUUAUGGAGAACAAAAAUAAAAAUUUUGAAGGAUCUUUGGGAGGAGUUUCUAAUGGGGGUUCUUCUAAAGGACAAGGUAUGCACAUGAAUCCGUCUAUUGCUAGUAUGUUUCAAGCCUUCUCAUUAUCAAUGCAGCAACAACAAAGCAAUGAUCGAAAAGAAGCUUUGGCAACCAAAGCAUUGCAAGCAGUGGUCAAUAAAAUUGAUCAAUUUGAUGGAAGGAAUAUUUCAAGGUAUUUAAGAUAUUAUUUUUGUGAAAUGGAAUUAAAUCAGAUUUUUGAAAAGAAAAUGGUUGAAUUAUUUGGACUUGCCACGAUACCGUAGAUAAGAGACCAUAUUACAUCGAUUACAAAUCGUUAUGGGAAUUCAUGGGAGGUUUUUUCACAUACAUUGAAAGACGAAUAUUUCUUAGGAGAUGAUGAUCAUGUUACUAAGAAGUUGUUUCUGGAAUGGAUUGAACAGCCUAAUAAGAAUUUAUAAGCAACAGAGCUACUUAGGGAAUUUGAAAGGUAGUACUCUCAAUUAUCGAAGGUAGAAAAAUUGACUUUGGAGCCGAACAAAGUUGAUCUAUUUCUUCAAGCUGCUGAUGGAGAAUUAUAAGGGAAAUUAGAACUCCUUCUUGAAGACAAAGAAGAAGAUGAAGGAUUGACAAGAAAGUAGAAGAACGUUGAAAAUGUGGUGGGGUUGGUUGCAUAAAGAGAAAGGAAGAAGGAUAGGAGCAAUAUUCCGAAAACAGAACAAGCACCCAAAGCUCCAGUACGUACAACACCACCAACAAUGCCUACAGUUCAACCUUUGACAUCCUUAUCAAAGAAGGUAGAUAUGGAAAUGGAAGAAAUUAUAUGAGGAAUGCGAGAUCUUCAAAUCAAAUUGGCAAGACUUGAAGAGAAUACUUCUACAAAUAAUUUGAAGAAUAUUUCAAAACAAGAAUAUGUACAAAGAUGCAUUUGGUGUGAUGACGCUUCAAACACUAGGAAAGAUUGCAAUGAAUUUAAAAAUAUGAUACAAUAAGGAAUUAUUUGUUGGAAAGAUGGGAAGAUAGCAUUAAAAGAUAGGGAGGAUCUUCUUCAAACCAAUUUUGGCAAGGGAGGAAUGAGAGCAUUGGUUCAAGAUUACUUAAAAGAGAAUGAAACAGCAGCACGAGAAAGUACAAAUUAUGGUGCUAGAGUAGAUGAUGACCUUGGUGGAAGUAUGGAAACUAGUGAGAUUUGGGCUUCUGCCAUUUCUACAAUAUAAGAAGGGAAAUUACCUCAAGAAGCGUUAUUGAGGACUGCAGCUACAAUACGAGGUGCAACAGGUUGGGAGGAUCCUGUUGAGUCUCUUUCAGUUCAUGCAUAUAUUGCUAAGAGCCAACAUGAAGCUUUGAUGGAAGAAAAGAGACGAGGAAAUUUUGAUGAUACUAGAGAAGGAAGUUCUUCUAAGAGACAAACUUGAGGAGACAAGGCUCGAGAAGCAGCUUCACAAAAAUUACCUGUAAAGGAUACCUCAGCAUCAUUGGAAGAAAAAACAAGGGAGACAAAAGAUAAGGGCAAAUCAAUUGCUUAUAAGCUACUUUCUGACAUUGAAGUGGCAACAAAUUUGAAAGGGGUGUUGGAAGAACGUAUAUUAAAUGCUAAGGUGGAAUUCACAUUGAAAGAAGUUUUGGGAAUUGCAAAGAAAGAAUUUCAUGAUAUUAUCAUUGACAGCAUUAAGCGAAAGAGAUAAUUAAUGGGCGAAACUGGAAUGAGUCAUGCUAUUGAUGUAAGAAUAUAUAAAGAUGAAGAAGAAGUUGAUAUUGGUUAUAAGCAACCAACAAAUGAAAAGAAUGGGUAUAAUCAAUGAGUACGUUUCGAAGAUUAUAGUGAUAAGAAAAUAGAAACUUGAGCCAUUAUACUCGAAAGCAUUGAACAAGGGUAACUAUAGAGGUAUUGGUGAAAGUAAGAGAUAUAGAAGAACCAAUUGUUGCUUUAGUCGACCAUGGUUCUGAAAUAAAUCUCAUAUCUAAAGAUCUUUAUAAGAAGCAAAAAUGGCCAAUUGAUAUGGAACAUGGAUGGGCAAUACGAAUAACUAAUAACACACGAGACGAAUUAUAUGGAGCUUAUUCAGAUGUCAAAAUUCGGAUAGGAGAUGUUGUGACGGAGCAACAUUUCUUUGUUCAAGAUACAACAUCUUAUCCAUUGAUUUUAGGACAACCUUAUAUUACAGCAACACGGAUGGAAACAAAAGUACUUGAUGAUGGUUCUGCUUGUGCAAGGAUACGUAGCAAAGAUGGGAGGAAAGCUAUACAAUUUCUAAUAGUACCUCCUAACCAUGAACGGAAUCGAGAUAGGUUGAGGGAGAAACCAUUGCUAAAGAUUGUUGAAGGAUUUAAGGAUUUUGGGGAGAUACCACUAUAAAGCGAGAUUAUGGAGGUACAAUAGAGGAGGUACUCUCGCGAGAUGAAGGUACCUUUGAUGCGAGUUUUAUUGAUAUUUUGGAGAAUGGAAAUAUUAUGUAUAAGAAAGUUGAUGAUUUUAAAAGAAAAGAAAGAAAAAGAUUAUAUGAUAUUGAAGGAGAAUUACUCAAGUUAGGUACACAGCAAGAAGAUGAAAGUGAUUUGGAUAAUGAAGGUGACAAAGAUGAACUGGACAAAAACGUAGAAAAUAUAUUCUAAAUCAAACAGCUAUUGGGUAAAUUGGUGCAUACCGGAGGAUGCACAAGUUCAGAGAGGGUGGAUGUCGUAUUGUAACACGAGUAUACCGUGAAAAUAUAAAGAAAGGGGACUUUUAUUAAUGUUUAGUUAUCUCGAAUAUUGGGAGCAACAACUGAUUCCAGUACCAAUAUUCAUGGGCCAGUUCAAAUACCCCAUCACAAUCGGUCAGGGCAUACUUACCAGUAACGAAAUGCUCCAUUUGAGUCCAAUAAUAGGAGUCAACAGAAUCGAAAGGACUAAAUCGAUGACUGAGCGAGCUUGACGUGAAGGACCAAUUUGACUCAAUUAUGGGAACAUCCAGAUCUUACUACGGGCCUCUUAGCCAAUAUGAGACCUGAAUUGGUUGGGCGUCUCAAUGUGGUCCCGAUUAUGGGGAUUUUGAUUCCGUUUCAGGCUGUCCUGUUCUCUGUGCCAUUUCAAGGAACGUUGUUUCCAAAAAAAAGAACCUUUUAAAAGGCAAAAAAUGGAGGAGAAAGCUCUGACGGUGGAGCCAAUUCUGGAUCCAAGAUGGAAGAUUGAAGAAAUUCAGAGGCUAGGGUUUGAAAGAGGAGAGAAUUAGGGUUAAAGGGGAGGAUAGGUUAAGAAAUGAGGGGAGGAGAAUCAGGAUUUUAAGGGUAGGAGAGCUAGCUUCAUGCUUCGGGGGAGAAAAAAGACAGAGAAUUGGGAUUUUUUUUCAUAGGGUUUUGAGAAGAUUGAGGCAAUCGUUACUGAAGUCAGUGUUGUACUAGUGAAUCGCAGUUUUAAUGAAGUAGGUGUGAUUACUCUUGACUGUUUUGUGAAAUCGAAGUUACGUCUGUGAUUGAAGAAUUAAAAGGGUGUCUAUAGGAUUGAGUAUGCGGAAUGAAUGAAAAUUUUUGGAUUAAUCUAACAAGAGAGUCAGUGGAUACAAGAUCGUGAGUAUAAAGCGAUAUCAGAGAUUAGCAAAUUGGAUUGUUCCAGGUUCUUUGUAACGUCUAGAGACCUACCGACUAGGCAAAAAAGGAUUUCGGUGAACAAUCGAAGGAUCCGUAUAGAUUUAUGGUAUAUUCUUAUAAUUGUUUAUAUUCCAACAGUCAAAAACUAAUAGACUGCUUGAAUAUUAGCGAAUCUCUAUACUACCUUCUACAGCCAGACGCCCGGUGCAUUCUCGAGCAAAAAAGUACGUAAUACGACACUUGUCAUGAGUGUCGAUUGAAGAAGUUCAAGAAGAGAGGAGUCACUUUCAACACCAGUUGGAACUUUGGGAUGCCCAGAUCCUGAAAAUGGAAGCUCAAGUCCGUGAACUAGGCAAGUACAAUGAAGACCUUUCAGCUCAAUUGAGGCAAGAGCCAAUGGAAGGAUUGGAAGAGGAUGAAGAUUUGUAGUUGGAACCGAAAUCGGUGGAACCAAUAACAGAUACUUUGGCAAUUGAUUAAUUAGGUAGGCCAGAGGAACUAGUUACUUUGUGGAGAUUUGUUAAGUAGUUUUUAGAUAGGUAUCAAUUGAGUGUUUGCGAGGAUGCUGCUCAGUUAAGAGUGGGGCUAUGUAGAAUAAGUAGUUAUUUUUAGAAUAUAGAUAUCUACUGUAUAGUGGAAACAAGGAUAGAUAACUGUUGAAAAGGUGGUUCAACACGUAGAAUGGAUGAAUAGUCAAGAAAAGUAGUUAUCAUCUGUAGUAUAGGAGUUGGUAUCUCGGGAUAGUAUAGGGAGGAUGGAAGAGGGGAAGAAAAUACCAAACUGUGAGAGUUGUAAGCCAAAGGCCAGACUGUGAGAAUCAUAAGCCGAGGGCCAUCGCUGUGAUAGUAUGAGCCGAGGUAAGCUUAGUGCUACCUCUUUUCUUUUGUUUGUUAUUUUCUUUGAAUAAGAGGAUUGAGAGUUUCUGAAUAUUGUGAAGUGAAUUAUGGAAUGGAAAUGUGAUUGAUAUUAUUUGAAAAGAAGAAAGAUUGAAUGUUGAAAUCUGAUUGUAGUUCAACAGAGAGAAUGAGUUUGUGUUUGUGUGAAACACUAUAAUGUGAAUGGUAGUUCUGUGUGAAGAAUUCCAGUGAUUGGAACGAGGGUAAUUGUGUGUUGAAAGUUGUGAGGGCGUAGUAUUACAGUUGGAGAUUAUGAGGGUGAAUAUAUUGAUAGAAAUAGCAAUUAUUGGUAUGACUGAAUUGCUAUAAGGAAGAGACCGAUAAGGUGAAGGAGGAGAUUAUAGUUUUCUUAUGAAUUCAGAUAUUGGAAAUAGAGAUGAUACAUUCAGGAGGUAAUUGAUUGUAUGACCCUAACAAGAACGCUUAAGCAACUAGUCAUUUCCCGUGUUCGAAUCCUCCUAUACGGGUUUAUUCUGGGAGGUUUCUUCCGGAAUAAGUAAAACGAGCAAUCACACAUAUAUUGUAUAAAUCUUGUAAAGAAAAGAGUUGGAGAGGAAUUUUGAUAGUAAUAAAAGUUAGAGAAGACAUCCAUAUGAAUGAAUGGAGAUGGAUGAUAUAAAUCUCCAUUUUUAUUCGUCAAAAAUCAUAACCAAUGGGCUUCAAGGAGGCUGAUUGAGGCCAUAUUAGGAAUUAGGCUUGCACUUUGGAGCUAUUUGAGCUUUUGGAGGCUAGGAUCAGCGGAUUCAAGUUUUUUGCUAUGGUUUUGAUGCAAAUUUUGAGUGAAUUGGAGUUUUUAUGAAGGAGAUAUAGGUGCUCAAAGUCAAGGUGUCAAUUUUGUACCUACUGUCACUCUUUUGCAUAUAACACACGCGUAUGGAAAGCAACAAAGUAUCAAUGAUUCGAAUUGGAGAGAACACUUCCUUAACUAUAAUUUUGACAUAUUUUUUGAUGGAUUUCAAGUUGGAAUAAAGGAGAUAUUGGAGGUUGAAAUCAGUACUUAUAUAUCAAGAAAUAUUAAUAUCUAAAUUUUAAGAAGAAAAAAAUCUUUGCAUGAAAAAAAAAAAAAAAAAAAAAAAAAAAAAAAAAAAAAAAUUGAAGGUAUUUUAUUAUAACUUGAGCAUUUCUUACAAAAUAAAGGAGUUUUUUUAGAAGUCAAGACUUUAUAUAUAUGUUGAAGAUGGAUAUAUGGAGCAAUGAUUAAAUUUUGAUAUAAAGAUAAGUUUUUGAGAGGAGAUUAUAGAUUUUCUUUGGAAUUAUUGAAAAUCUAAUUUACCAACAAAUGGUUAGUUAUGAUUUGGUAUAAUCAAGAAUAUUAGGAAAUUCUAAGAUAUUUUAGAAAGCCUUAAAUACAAACCUUUUUAAAUAUAAAAGAUUUUACUAAUACGAUAUCUUUUUAAUAUUGUAGUAUUUAUUUAUCUUCCACUUUAAAGGUUAAAUAAUUUAUUAGAGAUUGGCCAAUAAGUUAAAACUAAACUCUUUACAAUUAUGUAUCAAUGUAUUCUUAGAUAAAAAACCACACAUUACAACAAUGUGGAAUUGAAUUUAUUCUUUAUAAUAGGCAUCUAUGUUGGUCUUUUAUUCUUCUUGAGCUUCUUUUAAUUGUACCUUUAUUAUUAUAUAUAGCUCACAUAAACAUUUUGUUAAUUCUUCUAUUGUAAGGAUAUCAACUAUUGUAAAAUCAAAAGCAUCAAAUUGUGGAUAAUAACCAUAAUUGACAAAAAAAUAUAUUUAUUUUAUAGAUGAAUAUAUCAUAUUAUAUUAAGCAAACUUUACUAAUAGCAAAAGAGUUGUCCAAUCAUCUUAUUGACAGUUGAUAGCCUACCUCAAAUACUAUUUUAAAACUUCAUUUAUUUACUUCAUUUGUCUAUCAAUUUGAAGAUGAAAAGCCAAAGAUAAUUUUACAUCUUUCUUUAAAAUCUUGAAAAAAAAUUUCUAAAAUCUUGAUAUAAAUUGAAUUUUCUUAUCUGAUAUAAUAUCCUUGAUAGUGAUAGAUAUUAUUAAACAAAAACUUGGUUGUUUUUUUAUCUAUAAUAGAUUUUAUAAAAUUAUUCUUUAAUGAUCAAAAGUUGCAUAUCUAUCUUUUUUUGUAAGAUAAGAAUAUCUAAAAAGGGCAUAUAAUAAAGUUUAUUAUUUUUUAUAGGUCAAUAAAUAAUUUAAAAAUCAAAUCUUGAUUAAGAUAUACUCAAUGGACUUGAAAAUAAUUCAAAACAUGUGCUAACAUAAAAUACUCAAGGCUUUAGUGAUUUAUAUAUAAGAUGAUUUGAUUGGAAGCACCUUCUAGAUAUUAAUGCUAUUCUUAAAACAAAUCUAUAAUUACAAAAAGUUCUUUGUUAUGGAUUUCAUAGUUAAUCUUGAUGUCUAAAACUUUCUUAGAAUAAAAAAACUAUUAGAUGGAGCUUAUCAUGUGUUCUUAUUUAUGACAAUAUUACAACUAUUGCAAAGUAUGAUGCAUUUAUUUUCAUCAAAAAUGCCUUAAAAAACUUGACAUAAUAUUAUAUUAGUAUAAAAAUAAAUAUUAUUAUAAAGGCUUCUAAAUAUAUUUUUAUUUUUUUUUCUAUUCAAGUUUUUUUUAAUAAAUAAAAUAUAAAAAAAGAGCCACAAUUUGAGAAAGGUUUUUUAAUGAAGAUCUAAUAAUAAUUGACAAAUCUCAAGAAACAUUACACAUCUUUAACUAUUUUUGAGAUCUUCUAAUCUAUGAUAGUAUAGACCUUUUUAGGAUCCAUCAUAAGGCCAUUGUUUGAAAUGAUGUAUCUUAAGAAGUCAACUUGAAUAGUGUAAAAUAUACACUUUUUAAUUUUGAUAUAUAAGCUUGUAUCUCUCAAUUUUAGUGCUGCACAACAUACAUAAAAUUUAUAUUCUUUGGUAUUCUUAGAAUAGAUUGAAAUAUUCUUUGAAUAAUAAACAACAAAGUUAUCAAGAAGCUCACAAAAGACAUUAUUCAUUAGAUGUUGAAAAGAAAUUGGUACAUUCAUGAGUUCAAAAAUCAUAAUAUUAUAUUCAAAAUAUCUAUAUUUGAUUCAAAUUCUAGUUUUUUAUUUAAUUCUUUUUUUAAUGCAUAUCAGAUUAUAUGCUCUAUAUAGAUGUAUUUUUCUAUAAAUUUUUUCUUAAUUUAAUUAAUCAAGAAGUUUUAAAAUCAAAAAUAGAAGAUACCUAUUUUUGAUGGAAAUCUUCUUAAAUCCUUGAUAGUUCACUUAGAUCUAUAAUGAUUUGUAUUUUUUAAUUAAAAAUAAGAUAGAAGUCUUUAUUGGAGAUUUUUUAUGGCAUAUGAAGUUCUUAGCUUAGUAUCUUAAAAUUUGAAAAAAAAAAAAUAUUUGAAUGAAGAGAUACAAAUUUCUAAAAUUUAAAGAAAAAAAUUCUUUGCAGAAGAAAAAUAUUUUAAAAGGAUUUUGCUACAAUUUGAUUAUUUUAUGUAAAGUAAAGGAAUUUUAGAAGCUAAGACUUUAUGUAUACAUUAAAGAUAGAAAUAUAGAGCUAUGGCAAAAUUAUGAUAUAAAUAUGCAUUUUUAUAUAGAGAUUAUAGAUUUUCUUUGAAUUUAUUAGAAAUCAAGCUUAUUAACAAAUGAUUUAGUUAUGACUUGAUAUAACAAAGGAUGUUAGGGCAUUUUUAAAUACUUUAGAAAGCCUUAUGUAUAGAAUUUUUUUAAUAUAAAAGAAUUUUAUCAAUAGUAUAUCUUUUAAUAUUAUUAUAUUUAUUUGGCAUCUAUAAUAAGAAUACGUAAUUUAUUAGAAAUUUUCUAAUAAGUUAAAGCUAAACUCUCUAUAGCUAAGUACUUAAUAUAUUCAUAGAUAUAAAACCACGCAAUAUGACAAAGAUCCUUAUGACAAGUGGCAAAAUUUGUUUUGUUACACAUCAUCUUUUUUGGUAAUUAUUAUCUUUAUUCUAUAAUUAUAUUCUUUUUUUGGAAAAUAUUAAAGAAUAUUUUUAAGUUCUCUUCAUUAUAAGCAUACUCUUACUUAAUGACGUCAAAUCUUUUUUUUCUCAAUAAGAAAUUUAAAAUACACCAAAUCAAUUUGUACAUAUUGUAGCCUUGAUGAAUAAGCUUCUAAAAACUUAGAAUUUGUUGCCAUGACUUGUAUUAUGUCUUUUAAUUAAAACCUUCUUUUUUAGAAUCUUUCAAAGAAUCUAUUUUUACAUGCAAUAGCUUGAGCAAUAAAUUGUUCUAAUGAAUUUACUCUUGGCAUUGUCAAUAAUAAAACUUUAAUAUUAUCUUUGAAUUCAUAUCAAAGUUUUAAAAUUCAUUACCUUUAUAUAUUUAGUCUCUACUAUUUUUUUUCAAUCACUUUCUACAAAAGUAGCUAUAAAGACUUCUAAGAAUGAAUUCAAAUCAUAAAAAGUUGUGAAUCCUUUUUCAACAAAGAUACAAAUUAAGAGAAAGUACUUUCAAAUAAAAGUCCAUCUAUAAAUCUAACUUGAAUAAAUUUAUUAAGAUAUUAAAAUAGAUGAAAUCUUAUGUAGGGCUUCACUUGUUAUAAAAAUCUUCGAAACUUUGAUCUUGUUCUAUCAAAAUUCUUUGCCAUUCUUAUAUUUGUCUCCAUACUUAUUCAAGCAAGACUUCUUGCAUUCAAUUAUAAACUUGAUCUACUUGUUUCUUUCAAUUCUAUAAUUUUUUGAUGUAGAGUCUAAAGUUCAUUAUUGAUUUCUUUUAUGAACAUAGAAGUAGUACCUCCAUAGUUUAUAUAAGAAAUAUGUCAGCUUUUAAGCUAAGAAUAUUGGCAUACUUGUAAAGAUCUACAAUAGUUAUAAAAUUAUUCUUACUUUUAUUAUAAAUAGCAUCAAUAAAAAAAAUUCUAUGGACAAUUCAAAUAAAAUCACAAUUCAAAUUAAAAGAAGAUAAUUUGUAACUUCUAAUACCAAAUGAAAAUUUCUACAAAGAAGGAUAUUCUACUCUCUUUAAAAAAAAUAAUUAGUAUUUAGAUAACUAAAUUUCUAGUUUAAAAGUAGAUAGUUUGUAAUCUUCAAAAUACAAUAGUAGAAAGAAAUAAUCUACUUACUUCUAAAUAAAAUAAUAAUAAUAAAUUAUCUCUUUUAUCAAAUUGUCAAAGAUAAAUUUCAAAAAACUAAAAUAUUAAUAAAUUUUUAUGUCAUUCAAAAAGACUAAAAAAUUCUUCAAAUAUUAUAUAAUAUUGAAUCAAAAUGACUGUUAUCAAAGAUAAAAGGACUAAAAAGUCUUAAAAUAAGAUUAAAAAUUAAAAAAAGAUUGACAAUAGUGAGGAAGACUCUACUCUUAUCUUUAUACAUACUAUUUAAUCAAGAGUUAUAUGGCGAUGUUCUCUAAGAUCUCCAAUACAUGUCUAAUUUGUAAAAAACAUAUCUUAUCUUGAAAGGCAAGUUUUUUAUAUGUGCACUACAUCAUUAGCUUGUAUUAUAAGCUAUCCAUAUUUGCAACAUAUAACUAAUUUGUUAGCAAAGUUUCUAACCUAUCAAUUAAUUAUAAACAUAUAUGAAAUCAAAUAUGUAUCUAUGAAGCUUCUAAGAAUCUAUAGUUCAAGAUAAUAUUAAAUCUAUCUAUAUUUAUUUUCUACCUAAUAUUUCUUAUCUAGAUAAAUAUUAUUGUCCAUAAUAGUCAAUUAUUUGGUGUCAUCUUAUGGGACCAUUAUGUGAUGCUUGAAUCAAUUUAUUUUGUUAAAUUGCUAGGAUAUAUAAUUUGAUAAUACAAUCUAUUGUGAGUAUUUACAUCUUAUCAUCAAAAUAUAUAUAUGGCAAUGUUUUGUGUUCCAAAUUGUGACAACAUUAUCUCACGAGUAUUUAUAGGGUUUGUCUAAUAAUAAGAUAUUUAUCAUACAUAAAAUUAUUUAUAAAUAAUAUUACAUCCAUAGCAUUAUAUAAAUCAAUAUGAGUCUCAGAAUGAUUUUUUCAUAUACAAAUCCAAUAUAAAACUAGAUUUUCUUAAGAAGUAAUUUGUGAUUAUGUUUUAUUUUUAAAAAAUAUAAAAAAAAUUAAAAUUAUAUUCCAUGAGAAAUAUUACCUAUCUUGUUAUUUGACUAGUAAUCAUAUCUUAUUUUAUUAAAUAGAAUAAUACAUGAUUAUCAAUAAUAAAUUAAAAUCUAUUUUUAAGUAAAUAAUACUUAUAUUUUUUUUAUAGCAUAGACCAUUACUAGGACUUUGAAUUCUAUGGUUGAAUAAGUUUCUUUACUUUUAUUUAAUCUUUGACUUAUACAUAAUAUAGGUUUAUUUAUUUUUUCUUAUAUGAUUUUACAUAAACAUCACUCCAAAGGCAACAUUUGAGGCAUUAAUAUAUACGUAAAAUAAAAAUUUCUAAUUGAAUGCUAAUAAUAUUGGAUAAUUUAUAUAUUCAUAUUCAAUUUCUUGAAAAGUUUUAGUGGUUGUUAAGUUCCAAUGAAGCUCAUAUAUAAACUUAGGUUUAUUAAAUUUUGAUGAAGAAGAAAUUAGAUGUACUUAAUUCUUUAUUAAGGUCUUAUUGAAUUGAAUAAUCUCAAGUAUACUUUAUAUUUUUUUAUAUUAUAUGACUUGGACAUGUUUUGGAUUUGUUUUAUUUUCUUUAGAUCCAAAAACUUAAAUAACAAACAAUAUAUAUGAAUAUGAGUCUAGAGAGAGGAAAAAAAAAUAAAAAAUAAAACAAAAAAAAAUAAAACAAAAAAUAAAAUAUAAAAUAUAAAAUAACAUGCAUUUAUUGUUACAAAUAUAUAUAUAUAUAUAUAUAUAUAUAUAUAUAUAUAUAUAUAUAUAUAUAUUAUAAUUAUUAUCUUUAUAAUAUAAAUAGGUAGAAGUAGGUAAAAGUAGAUUAAUUUCAUAAUACCUUCUAGAAAAGCUUCCUAAAAGCUUCUUAGACUCUAUUUUGAUUUACAUGUAUUUGUAGUUGAUUGAUAGAUUAGAAACUUGAUCAACAAGCUAACUAUGUUCUACAUGUAUUGAUAGCUUGUAGAAUAAACUAACUAUGUAGUACCCAUAUAGAAAACUUACCUUAUAAGUUAAGAUAUGUAUCAUGUAAAGUCAACACAUUUUAGACGUCUUAUAGAACAUCACUACAUAGAUUCUAUGUAGAUAUUAUAUAUAGAGGCAAGAGUGAAGUCUUUUUUAUUCUUUUCAACUCCUUUCUUGCUUCUAAUCUAAUUUUAAGAGUUUCUAAUUUCUUUAUCUUUUGGCAAUAGCCAUUCCAGUUUCUUUUUUAAUAUACAUACUUCUCUAUUUUUAUUUUGUCAUAUUUCUUUCAGAGAGCAUCAUUUGAUUAUUUUCUUUCAUCAAAUUCUUAUCCUUAAUAUAUUGAAAAGAAUAUACUUAUAAUAUCAUAGCUUUAUAUUUUCUUAAUUAAAAAUAGAUUACUUCUUUUUCUUGAUAAGACUUAAGCAUAAUAAGAAUUUUAGAUUAUCCUCUUUUAAAUUGAUAUUAUUCUUUGUUUUAAGUCUUUUCUUAUAUUUAUCUUCAAUGAUAUCAAACAUCUUUCCUUUUUUAAGUAUUAUCAUAAUAGAGCUUUUCAAAAUAAAGAGUAUAAUGAUACAAAUGUAAGAGUAAUUGAGGGAGUUAAUGCUUGCAAUGUAUCAAUUCAAUUUAUUGCCACAAUAAGCAAUAAAAAUGACAAAGAACAAAGAUAUAGAGAUGAUUGGAGCCGCUUCAAUAUUUGUACUAAAUCAUGUCUCUUUUUCUAUAAUAGAACAUCCUUCUAAUAUUAAAAAAUCAAGCGUUGUAUUACUCAAGAAGUUUGAUAUUACAAGAUCUAAGUUUUAAGGAUUUAUUAAUGAGGUAUAAUUUAUAAUUGAACUUCAAUUCUAAAGCUAUCCAACUUUAAGAUUGCAAGUUAGAUUUAAUAGUACAUUCCUUUCAAGUUUAGUAUUAUCAUAGUUUUCAUCUUUUCUUGAACAAUAAGAUCCAAUAUUAAAUAAUUUGGAGGCUUUUUUGGUGGAAUUUUGAUCCAUAUAUGGAGAACAUGAUGUAAUUUGUAUUGCAAUUAAUAAGAUUUGUGUUUUGUAAUAAGUCAAUCAAUUGACAAUGUUAUAUGCUUUAUUAUUUUGACAACUUGCAAUUAAUAUCAAAUAAGAUGAUGCUACAUUUAUUAACCAAUUUUUCUACAAAUUACAAUAUAAGGUAAAAAAAAUGAUUACAUAAUCUUUAAACAUUGAAUCAAGUAAUUAACUUUGUUGUGAGGUGUGACAAUCAACUUUUUGAAUUUUGAUCUAAGAGUCAUACAAGUACAUCUCAAUAUUAUUAUAAAUUAAUAACAAUACCAACAUCUUUAUAAUAUAUAUAUUUAAAAGUAAAAGAUAUGUAAAUUGAUGUAGUAUAUUUUAAAUCAAUUAUUGAGCAAGAAAAGAUUUAUUAUCAUUAGAAAGGAUUAUGCUUAUAUUAUGGAAAGUCUAAGUAUGGUGCUCAAUAUUAUCCAAAGAAGCAACAAAAUUAUAAAAUAAAAAGUAUGGUUGUCAAAAAAGACAGUAUGUUAGAAAAUAAGUUUAUUUAGCUACAAUAGAAACCAUGCAGUUGGAAUCUUAUACAAUACCUAGUGAAGGUCUUAUUUUUCCUUAGAACCCUCUCCUUAGUUUAUAAUAAAUAUUAUUUUAAGACCUAAACAUCAUAAAGCCUCUAUCUUGUUAGAUUGAGGAAGCUGAGCAUAUUUCUUAGAUGAAGAAUUUGCUAAAAGACAUAGCAUAUCUUUAGUGAAGAAAACUAAACUUAUUCACAUAGAAGUCAUAGAUAGUUGUCUAUUGUCUUCAAAAAAUCUUAAUCAUAAAAUUCUUCUUAUACAAGUAACAACUAAUGGUCAUAGUACCCUGUAAUAUUUAAUAUUAUUAAAUCUCCUUCUAAUCGAAUUAUUUUAGAUUUAUCAUAGCUAAAAAAUAUAAUCCAAAAAUAGAUUAGAUUUCUCAUAGUCUUGACUUUUUUAAAAGUAUAAUUAAGAAUAUACUUGAUCAAGUAAAAAGUCAUAAGUCUAGUGCAAUUAAACUUGUAUUUAUAAGUGCAAGAACUUUUUUGCAUGUUACAAAAGAAGGAUUAUCUUAUAUCAUUUAUUCUGCACUUGUUUUUGAAAGUGGAAAGACUUCAAGUAGCAUUUUAAGCUAAUAUUAAGAUUUUUAAGAUAUAUCUGUAGAAAAAAAAAAAAAAAAAAAAAAAGAUACUCUAUCACAACAUCAUUCCAAUGAUUACUCAAUUGACCUUCAAGAAAGAGCUCAAUCAUUAUUUAGACCAAUUUACAAUUUAUCACAAAAUGACUUAACUGAAUUCAUAGAGUAUAUUAAAGAAAAAUUGAGCAAGAAUUUCAUAUGUUAUUCCAAAUCUCCAACAAAAGCUCUAUUUUUAUUUGUAAUAAAAAUUAUGAAUCAUUAUAAAUGAAUAUAAAUUAUUGAGGAGUCAAUGAAAUCAUCAUCAAAAAUAGGUAUCCGCUACCUUUCAUAUCUAGAGUUCUUGAUUUGUUGAAUGAAGCUAAGAUCUAUACAAAAAUAGAUCUAUACAGACCAUACAAUCUAAUACACAUCAAAAAAGAGAUGAGUAGAAGACUAUAUUUUGAACAAGAUAUGAACAUUUUGAAUACAAUAUCAUACCUUUUGGACUUACAAAUGCAUCAAUAGCUUUCUAACAUCUAAUAAAUGAUGUUUCCUAAAAUUUUUUAAAUGAAUUUGUUAUCUAUUACCUAGACAACAUCUUGAUUUAUUUUAAGAAUAUAGAAGUAUAUGAACUUUAUAUUUGUUGUAUGUUACAAAAACUAAGAGAUGUACAAUUCCAUACAAAGAUAGUAAAGUGUGUAUUCCACACUACUUAUGUUAACUUCUAAGCAUACAUCAUUUCAAAUGAUGGACUUAUGAUAGAUCCUAAGAAAUUUCAAACUAUUAUGAAUUAGAGGAUUUCAAAAAUGGUAAGAAAUAUCCAAUAUUUUUUAGAAUUUUUUAAUUACUAUUAAAUCUUUAUCAAAAACUUCUUUAAAUUUAUAGCUCCACUUACACAUUUGACUUAUAGAGACAAACUUCAAUCAAAUCAAGAAGCAAAAGCAGCAUUUGAAGCUUUAAAGACAACCUUUAUUUUUGUACCAAACUUGUAUUGCAUCGACUUUUUUAAGCCAAUUUUCAUGAAAAUAGAUGCACCAAAUUUUGGUUUAAGUAUUAUAUUAUCACAAAUAGAAAAAGAUGAUAAACUUCAUCGAAUAACUUUUUAUUUAAAAAAAUCUUCAAUAGACAAAUUCAACUACAAGAUUCACAACAAAAAAUUUCUUGCAAUUGUGGAUUUAUUUUAAAAAUAGUGUCAUUAUAUAGAGGGACUUUUAAUCUUAUCAUUGUUUAUAUUGAAUAUAAAAAUUUUGAAUAUUUUAUGUCAGUAUGUAUUUUGAAUCGUUGCCAAGCUAUUGGAGUAUGUCUUUAUGAAGAUUUGAUUUAAGAUCACUUAUUGAUCCAAAAAAAAAUAAUAUUUAUCAGAUGUCAUUUCUAAAUGUUCUUAUUUUGGACCAAAAAAGAAAGAUACAUCUUUUGAUUAACAAAAAAUGAUUCUCUUGAAGCUGGAGCAUUUUCAUCUUCAAGCAAUAAAAUCAACAUUGACUAUUGAUUCAAUCCUUAUCAAGAAAAUUUAAUCAAAUAUGUCCUUUGAUUUUCUUUUUUAUGAUAUUAAAAAUUCUUCUUCUAAGUCUCAUGAUGCUUUUAAGUUUGAGUUCAAAAAAAAUCCUAUUCUAUUGUAAAAGAUACCUAUAUAUUUCAAAAAAAGAUGCAUAAUUAUGUAUUCUUCAAGCACAUCAUGACUUUUUAAUAGCCACACAUUUUGGAUACAAUAAGUCUUUAGAAUUUAUAUCCAAAUAUUUUUAGUGGCAAAAAAAGUGGAAGGUAGUAAAAGACUUUGUCUAGUCAUGUGAAAUUUGUUUAAAGUCAAGAAUUCUUUGUCAUCAACUUUAUAGACUUUUCCAACCAUUAUCCAUUUUAGAACAAUCAUAGUCUUUUGUUUCUAUGGAUUUUAUCACAAAUCUUCCAAUCUUGUAUUCUUAUGACUCUAUAUUUAUAAUAGUAAAUCAUUUCACGAAGAUUGCACAUUUUGUAUCAUGUAAAAAAACUAUCAUAGGUGAAGAAAUAGCCAAUCUUUGCUUUGGCAACAUCUAUUACUAUCAUGGAUUGCCUAAAGAUAUUAUAUUAAAUAGGGCAACUCAGUUUAUAUUAAGAUUUUGAAGAAUACUUUUUAAGAUUCUAAAAGUAAACAUAAAACUAUCGUCAACUUUCUAUCUUCAAAUUGAUGAAGAUAUAGAGCAUAUAAAUGAAGUUUUAGAGCAGUAUUUGAGGUAUACUAUCAACUACCAACAAGAUGAUUUGACAACUCUUUUACCAAUAGUAGAUUUUUCUUAUAAUGAUAUAAUAUAUUUUUCUAUGUAAAAAGUAUUAUUUUUUGCUAAUUAUGGAUAUCAUCUAUAAUUUGAUACUUUUGAUUUUUUAAUACUUAAUAAUCUUUUAGUAGAAGAUUUGAUAAAUUAUUUAUUUGAGCUACAUACAAUAAUGAAGGUGUGACUAAAAGAGGCUCAAAUACAAUAAAAGAGCUAUGCAAAUUCUUAUCACAAGGAAUAAUCUUAUUUUUACGUUGGUGAUAAGAUAUGAUUACUAUGUCUUAAUAUUAAAACUAUUUGUUUUUAUGAGAAGUUAGAUUAUUAUAGACUUGGACUAUUUUCUAUUUGAGAACAAGUCAAUCCAAUUGCUUAUCAAUUACAUCUACUAAAAUCUAUGAAAAUCCAUCCUAUAUUUCAUGUGUUGCUUUUACAGCCAUAUAAAAUAAUAAAUAUCUCAAAAAGAAGAUAAAUACCAUUGCUUCUUAUAGAAGUGGAUAAUAAUUAAGAAUUCAAGGUGAAAGAAGUCUUAGAUUUAAAGUAAUGCCGACAUAAGUUAGGAUAUCUUAUUCAUUAGUAUGGAUUUGAUAUUAGCAAACAGAUAUGUGAAUAAACAAAAAAUCUUACAAAUAUAGCAAAGAAGGUCAAAGCUUUUCAUCAACAACAUCUAUCAAAACUAGAAUGAAGGAUAGCAAACCUUUGCUUUAAAAGAAAUACAAUUUAGAAAAGAUUACAUUCUAUCUUCUAUCUUUGUUUGUAGUUUUUGUAUAAUUGUGGCAUUAAAGAGAUAGAGAACUAUUAGCCAAUAGAUUCAAUUCAAGAACCAUUAUUUGCUGACUUAUCAAAGAAGACAUUAUGAUUAUCAUAGCCUUCAAGAUGAAGUAAUAGAAAUAAAGACCUUCAAGAAGAAAUAUUCUUCCUUGAAUAGAUGAAAAGAUACAAUGCAUUUGGUAUCACAAUUUGAAAGGAGACUCUCAAUGUUUGGUGAUUUUAUAGGAAGUAGGAAUGACUCUUGAUAGUGUUAUAAAUAUUUUAUUUGAAAGAAGUUAUAAAGAUUUUAACAAUGAUAAAAUAAUAAGGUAGUCUUCUCACCUUGAAAUGGAACAUUAUUAAUGGCUAAGAGAACCUAUCAACUAUCUUCAAAGGAAACAAAGAUCAAAGUAUGUAAUAAAUAUAAUUUGCCGCAUCUCAGACUUCCUCAACAUGUGAUUACCAUUCUAUAUAGAACUUGUUUCUAAAAAGGGACAUAAUGUCACACAUAUAUAUUUAUUAUAAUUUUUAUCUAGAUAAUUUGAAUAGGUAGAAGUAAGUAGAAAUAGAUUAAUUUCAUAAUACCUUUUAGAGAAGUUUUUUAGACUUUGUUUUAACUUUACAUGAUUUUAUAAUUGAUUAGUAGGUUAAAAACUUAAUCAACAAGCUAACCACAUGUCACAUGUAUUGAUAGCUUACAAAACAACCUAACUAUUUGGCAUCCAUAUAGCCAUUCUAAUUUUUUUUUUAAUAUACAUACAUCCUUAUUUCUAUUUUGUCAUAUUUCUUUCAGAGAGCCUUAUUUAAUUAUUUUCUUUCAUCAAGUUCUUGUCCUUGAAAUUUAUCUAUUUUAAGGUUGAUGCCAUAUUUUUGAUAAGCUUCAAAGUUUUGCCACAAAUAUUAGAUGUGCUUUUUUUAGGUCCGUAGAUGGUCCUAUUAUCAAAGUAUAUUUUAAAGAAUAAUGAUCAUUUUUUGUAGUAGUGUUAAGCUUACAAAAAUCUAUUUAAACUUAUAGAGCUUUUGAUUUUUUUAGGAUAAUCACUAUACAUGACAACUAUAGAAUAAAAUCGAUGGAAAACACUAAUUUGGCUUAUAAGAGUUUGUCCAACUUCUACUUCACAAUUUGCAUGUAAUUAGAAUUCAUUUGAUAAUAUCCUUGUUGAAUUGAUGUGAUAUUUUGAAUAAGAUUAAUCUCAUGCUUUGCUAUCUUUGUAAAUAUUCUUCUUAAAUCCUUAUAUGACUAUAUAAAUAUGUAUUGAUAUUUAUAUAAUAGUGCAAUUGCGGUGGUUUUUAUAUCAUUAGAUGCAUUGGCAUUUAUUUUUACAUGCUUGGAUUUUGAGGAUGUCCUUAGAAUAAGGAGUUUUUUUUUUUUUUUGGAUUAUGCAACUACUUCUUAAUUAAUUUUUCUUCAAAUUUGAUAUAUUUUAAUUAUUUAUUAAUGAUUUUAUAGUCUUAGAACUUAACAAUAAAUUUUACAAGUAUGUCCAAUUAUUCAUUAAUAACAACGUUGUCUAAAAACUUAAUAAUAAAUUUUAUAAGUAUGUACAAUCAUUCAUUAAUUUUUAAGUUUGCAAGAUUCAUUUCUAUGACAAGAAUCAAGUGGAGUUCUAAUACAAAUACUAAUACUUCUUAAUUGAAGCUCAAUUUAACAAAUUAAUUAUUGUGCAUAAUUUUUUAAAUUAUCAAGAUUUUUUUCUUGAGUUACACAUCAAUCAACAUAAAUAUGCAUGUAUUGAUGUUGUAGUAAAUAGUUAUUUUAUUGUUUAACCAAUUAUAAGAUGCAUUAAUAUUUUGCAUCUAUUGUCUUUCUAAAAUAAUUAAAAAGUGACUCUUGUUGGAUAUCUCAUAUAUUGAAAAAAUAAUUGGUGCUUCAAUCUCUUAGAUUAUAAUAAUUAUAUUCUACAAUAUCCCAAAGAGCUUAACAAAAGCAUCAUUUGUUAUAUAAAGUAUGAAUGAAGCCACUUCAAACUUAGAAAGUUUGAAAAACUUAUAAAUAUGAUUUGUCGUGACAUUAAUUUUAAAUCUUCUAUCCACGAGUACAUUAAUUAGUUGAUAAUUUUUAAUACAAAUUUUGAUCAUUAUGGCAUCAAGAUCUAUUAUUGCAGCAUUUUAGAUUACAACUACUUACAAUAAUAAUUUAAAACAUAGCUGUCACGGACAUACACAUGUAAGCCAAAAAUUACCUGUACAAAUAUGUAGAAGUAAGUAGAAGUAGAUAAAAGCAAGUUAAUUCAAAAAUAUCUUCUAUAGAACCUUCCAAGCAGCUUUAUAGAUACAGCUUUGACUUUAAAGGUGUCUUUAAUUGACUUUUUGAGUUACAAACGUGGUCAACAAGUUGACCAUGUACCAGCCAUGUUAUUAGCUUGAAGACCAAGCUAACUAUGUGGUCCACAUGUAGAAAAAAUUGCCUUGUAAGUCAAGGCAUGUGUCCUGCAAAAUCAACACAUAUUGGAGGUCCUAUAGAACAUCACCGCGUUGUCGGGGUAGAGAGAGUUUGCCUCAAAAAAACGUUGGGCUUUUGGCUCUCACUAAUUAUUCAAUUAAGCUUAAAAAUAAGGAAAGCCCUAAAUUUAUAUAUAAAUUUUCCCUUUUUGAGCAAUUACACCAAAUACACAAGCCUCAAGUAACCAACAACAUCCAAAAUAUGAUAAAAUCCUCUAAAACCUUGUAUAUUCUUAUGUGGAGAUUUUUCCGAAAUUGAACAUCUCAUAUCUUCUAAUCCGACCAUCCAAACAAACUCAAAUUUCACAUGAGGUACUGAUGUAUUCUUAUUAACUUCUACAACAAUUUUCAACUGCAAAUUCAUUGUAAAACUUGAGAUAUCUUAAAAACCCUAACAGCUGCUUCAAACCCUUGUCUUUAUAUACCCGCGUACAAUUUUCUUCAUAUCUCACAAAAUAUAAGCUCAAAUGCUACGAAAUUUAUAUAUAUAGCUUCUUAACACAAAAAGUUUGAGCCAUAAGUUCGUCCAAAUACUCAAGUUAUGGCUCCAACCAUUACUACAAAUAAAACCGCUUACUUACUGCCUUUGAUUUGAAAGCGCUACCUUCAAUUCCUUAUAACUCCUUCAUAUAAACUCCAAAAGCAAUGAUUCUUUCAUAAAAGAUGUAGACCUUAAAAUUGCCGUUCUAGUCGCACCUUCUGAUCUUUAAAAAUUGCUGUAAAACUCCUCGUAUCCUCAAAAAAGUAACAAUGUAUCUUAAAUUAAUACCUUAACUUUAAAUGGCUAUAAUUUCUUCACCCUAAUUCCAAAUCCUCUAAUUUUUGCACACAAAUUGUAUUCCAAAUCCUAAAAUUUACAACCCUAGCUUGUAACCUCCAAAUAACUUCGAAAGAGAAAUCCUAAUCCCUAAUAAGGCCUCGAGCAACCUCCUUGAAGCCCAUUGGACAUGGCCUUCGACCAAUAGGAAUGAAGUUUCCCAUUCCUUACCUUCAUUCAACCAUUUCUUGCUUUCAUCCCUCCCAAUAAGCCUCCUAUUAGUUAAGAUUUUCUUCUUUAGGAUCUAUCUCCUCUCAAGGCUUUAUACUAAACAUUUAGGUCUUACAAUUGUUUUAAAUGUUAUAAAAAAAAAAAAAAAAAAAAAAAAAAAAAAAAAAACUCAAAAUAAAGUUUCUUAAAUCCACUCUCUUUAAAUUAAUCUAUUAACCAUUCUGACAUACAUCUAGAUUUAUUAACAUAUAAUAUAUUUUAACUAAUUUUUAUAUACUAUAAGCUUUUAUAGUACAACAACAUUAUCGUAAUACAUGAAGUCUUGCUUGAGAAUGCUCCGGGCACUUGGUUGUGGAAAGAAGAAUGGAAAUUACAAUAACAAAAUCCUAAUUCUAAUAGAAUAAAAACAAUGCUCUAAUUAGACCAUAAUAAUACUAAGCAAGCUUAAUCAAAUUCAAAAAAACCUCAAAGAAAUUUUAAACAAAUAAUAAGAAUUCUUAAAGAAACAUUAGAAAGAACACAAAUAUCACUCAAAUACAUCUCAAUUCAAUCUUAAUUUCAUUCUAAUUAAAAUCCUAUUGAACUUCAUUCAAACUUUAGGCCAAAAAUAAUUGAAUCUUAAAUCCUAAUAAAAUCCUAAACCCUAAAUUAAACCAUAAACAAAUCUUAAACCAAACCCCAACCAAAUCCUAAACCAAAUCCUAACCAAAUCCUAAACCAAAUCCUAACCAAAUCCUAAACCAAAUCCUAACCAAAUCCUAAACCAAAUCCUAACCAAACCCUAAACCAAAUCCUAAAUCCUAAAUCAAAUCCUAAUCAAAUCCUAAUCCAAAUUCUAAACCCUAAAUCAAAUCCUAAUCCAAAUCUUAAAUCCUAAAUCAAAUCCUAAUAAAAUCCUAAAUCCUAAAUAAAACUCUAAUCAAACCCUAAAUCAAAUCCUAAUCCAAAUCCUAAACCCUAAACUAAAUCUUAACCAAAUCCUAAAUCUUAAAUCAAACCCUAACCAAAUCUUAAAUCGUAAAUAAAAUCCUAACCAAAUCCUAAACCUAAAAUAAAUCCUAAAUAAAUCCUAAACCCUAAAUUAAAUCCUAAUCCCACCUCUAAAUCCC
RNAcentral lists this long non-coding RNA (41528 nucleotides) under Physcomitrium patens. RNAcentral's name for it is "long non-coding RNA (PPAT_LNC007486)". Lineage: Eukaryota; Viridiplantae; Streptophyta; Bryopsida; Funariales; Funariaceae. The record is from RNAcentral.